GAAUAAUUACUGAAAAUAGAAGAGAAGAGAUUGCGAAUAAUUCAGCUAAACUACAAGAAAAUAUAUUUCUAGCGGCAGUUUUAAACCUGACUGUUUAACGUCUGCCACUAGAAAUAUUAAUAUGUAGCGGCAGUCGAUUAAAACUGCCCCUAGACAACAAACGGCUGCCGCUACAUAAAAAGGCACAAGUUUCACUUUGCCUUGCUCGCGCCUCUUCCCGUCAUCUCUCCUCACUCGCUCAGUCGUCUAUCGCUUUCUCUGUCUCUUUCUCUCCCCCUUUCUCUCACAGUCGCCCCUCUCUCACGCUCUCUCUUUCUCUCUCUCUCUCUCUCAGUUGUCCCUCUUUCUCUCUCUCUCUCUUGUUCUGUCAAGGGAGCGAUGUCUCUGUCAAAAUAGUGUUCUGAGGUAAAGUCGAUGCUUCUUCAGGCCUUCUUCUCGGAUUGGAAUUCUAGGUUUUAUUUCUAGGCCCCACAAACAAGUUCUUCCCCUCCUACAGCAACUCCCCAAGUUAUGCCAGCAACAUCAGCUCUGUCACCAUCAGUUCCUCUACCUGCACCUACCCCUGUCAUAGCCACCCCUGCUUCUACUACUGUCCCAUCUUCAUGAAGACAGGCACUAUUUGACUGAUCAUCCUGGAUUGGUGCCUAUAACCACUGCACAGGAGGAUAUGUUGAUCUGGGCACUCUUGUACAUGAGUCUCCGCGAGAUGCCCCAACCUUGUGGGAGAUUGGUGUUCCUGACCGCUCAGCUGCUGAGUUCUUCAUCCCAAAUCUCGACUCCCGCUAUGUCAACCCACUCUACAUAAAUCAGGACAGGUUUAGGCAGUAUGGUUUGUGGGAUAAGUAUGGGCUUAUGUAUCCCUACCAAUAUCUAGCUUAUACUGUAGGUGUUAGUGACUACUGAAAAGAUCGGUUCUACGCACACGUUACAAGAACAAUCAGCAAUCCUGCAGGGCAUAAAAUCUUAUCUGGGUUACUGGUAUUGGUACCAAAAAUUUGAUAGGGAAUCGGCCACAAGACAAGCCCUGUUCAAGCUUGCAUGGAGACUCAGGAACUGCUCAACUGUAGGUUGUGGGUUAUCCUCCUUGGUAGAUGUACUUAACUCAGCAUAUAUGCUGUAAAAGAGAAAGAGAAAGAUCAGAUAUCAAAAAAGUUGGUUCAAGGAGAAAAGAAAACAUACCAAUAUCUUACAUGCAAGAUCUAUACCAGUCAAACCAGUAAAUUUGCACGAGUUCAAUGAAUAUGAUCAUCAAACAUUGAGAAUCAAA
Molecule: non-coding RNA, 1267 nt
Organism: Nelumbo nucifera (sacred lotus)
Lineage: Eukaryota; Viridiplantae; Streptophyta; Magnoliopsida; Proteales; Nelumbonaceae
Source: RefSeq, a predicted model, not a curated record